GAGUUUUUGAUGUCGCAGAUACUGCAUCAGGAACUGAUUGGAUAAUAAUGGGUCACCAUCAGUUCCUAAUGCAUUGCCUUCAGCAUCUAAACA
Molecule: microRNA precursor, 93 nt
Filed under: Ailuropoda melanoleuca (giant panda)
Lineage: Eukaryota; Metazoa; Chordata; Mammalia; Carnivora; Ursidae
Description: mir-217 microRNA precursor family
Rfam family: mir-217 microRNA precursor family
Source: Rfam by way of RNAcentral